Molecule: transfer RNA, 76 nt
Filed under: Kordiimonadaceae bacterium
Lineage: Bacteria; Pseudomonadati; Pseudomonadota; Alphaproteobacteria; Kordiimonadales; Kordiimonadaceae
Description: tRNA-Thr
Rfam family: tRNA
About the family: Transfer RNA (tRNA) molecules are approximately 80 nucleotides in length. Their secondary structure includes four short double-helical elements and three loops (D, anti-codon, and T loops). Further hydrogen bonds mediate the characteristic L-shaped molecular structure. tRNAs have two regions of fundamental functional importance: the anti-codon, which is responsible for specific mRNA codon recognition, and the 3' end, to which the tRNAs corresponding amino acid is attached (by aminoacyl-tRNA synthetases). tRNAs cope with the degeneracy of the genetic code in two manners: having more than one tRNA (with a specific anti-codon) for a particular amino acid; and 'wobble' base-pairing, i.e. permitting non-standard base-pairing at the 3rd anti-codon position.
Source: RNAcentral
GCCCUUGUAGCUCAGUUGGUAGAGCAAUUGAUUUGUAAUCAAUAGGUCCGCAGUUCGAGUCUGUGUGGGGGCACCA